Oreochromis niloticus (Nile tilapia) is the source of this 2728-nucleotide long non-coding RNA. The record is from Ensembl. Lineage: Eukaryota; Metazoa; Chordata; Actinopteri; Cichliformes; Cichlidae.
UGCCUUUUAUCAUAGUUUGGAAAUGGGAAAUAUAUGUUUUGACUUUUUCUUGUUGGAAUUUGGUCUUUAAAAAAUGUAUUGUACACUGUCUACUCAUGUACAGAUUAAUGCAGAGUUUCUGCGGGUUACUGCAGUUCCCUUGCUAACCAGAUUCAUGGCCCAGCUGGACAAGCACUCCCCACAGCUACUUAAAAUAAUCAGAAAGAAAGGAGGGACAACCAAAGCAAAAACUGCCAUAAUCCUAGAGUUUCUUGAUCAGGAUGCUGGUGCUGACAUUAGGAGGGAGUGUAUACUUAAAUCUCUCAUUAUCUACCUUGGAGAACGUGUUGAGGACUUGAUAAAAGAAUACAUGGUAUGUCCAUAUCUGUUCUGUCUCUACAUGAGAUGCAGUCUCUUGAUGUAAAUUUGACAACUCUGCUAUUAAAUGCAGUGAUUAAUGUAGAACAGCAACGAUUAAUCAACUCAUCAAGUUAAUAUCUUAGGGUUCUGUAUUGUUUUCUUUUUUUUCUUGGGCUUUGUGGAACAUUUAUGAAAAUGUUCCACCAUUGAUUUAAUUUAAUGAUUAUGCAAUUCACAAUCUGAUUAGUCAAAUAAUUGUUCUAAUAGUCUGUGACCAAACAACUAUCAAAAUAGUAGUUUAUUAUGGUUUAUCAGGUGUGCCAGACUUCAGUUCUUCACUUGUACAUUUUGUUCCAUAUUUUACCUCAAGAUAUCCCAGAAAGAUGAAGCUGAGGAAGAGCUGCAGAGUACCACAAUGGCACUCUUCGUCUUCAGGGACAACUCAAGCCUCCUACAUCAGCCUCGAGACAUCGGGAUAAUCAUUGAUGGUGUGGAAGUCCUGAAUGAGUUGCCUUCUGUGGCAGCUGGAGUGGCAAUGGUCUUUGGACUCUGUUAUGCUCUUAAUAUGGAAUAUCCACGAGGAUUCAGGUUCACCUUUGAGGCUCUUCAAAAGAUUAUGAUGGAGCUUGACUUUAACAAGAUGACCUCUAAGAUUCGCAAACUUAAUUGUGAACUUAACACUGCACAGUAGUGUGUUUGCAUGCAUGUGUGCAUGCAUGUGUAUGUGCACAUGCAUGUGCAUGUGUGCUUGGUUAUUUUGCUUGGUUGGCCUGCAGUGGUAUUCUACAUUCAAAAGUUAUAAGAACACCCAUUUGAAAGGGAGAUUUAAGUUGAUUUCAUUGAUACAUGUGUACAUUUUUUUUUACAUUGUACAGGCACAGUGCACAUAUAAACAUUUUUGAGUACUUGCAAAUUGGUUUAAAAAGAGUUUUGGUUUUAUGCCAGUUUUAGACAGGUUGCAGGUUUUAUACCAGUUCUAAAAAGAUUGCAGGUUUUAUACUGGUUUUCAAAAGGUUGCAGGUUUUAUAAAACAAACAUUUCUCUAAUCAUUUCUGCCGUAGCACUAAAUCUUUAUAUUACUAAUCCUCUCUAUUGAUUAUAGUUAAAAUGGUUUGGAACAAUAAAUAAUUUUGAAAUAAUUGGUUGGCCAACUGUCUUGUUUUUUAUAGGAAAUGCAGAGCAUUUUUGAACUGAAAUAAAAUGAAAUGUAAAAAAUAUAGUUUGAAUAUAUGUAAAUCAAUUACCUGGCUUCAAGACAAACAUAUUAGUUCAUGUUAAUUUGGUUCGAUGUGAAUACAUUAGGUUGGUUAAAUUUCAAUAUAUUAGCUUGGUUCAAUAAUUAAAAUAUGGUUCUAUGUAAAAAAAUCAAUUUGGAUCAAUGCAAAAUUUAAAGUUUCAGUCAAGUCUAGUAAUAUUGUUUAUAUCAACAUAAAAGUAUCAGGUCAUAUCAAGUGACUCAAUUUGGAUUCUAUGAAGUCAAAUAUUUUGGAUGUGACCAUUGGACAUCAAUUUUUUUAAUUUCAAUAGGGUUUUUCUUUUUACAGUGUAUCACAAAGUGAACAAGAUGAGUUGUAGUUUUGAUUGUUUUACAAAAAGCUCAGCAGGCUUUAUUGUACCAUUAUAUAAAAUAAAUUAUGCCCUGCAGAAAACCAGAACAUAAGAGAAAGACUCUUUUCUGAAAUCAGGAACCUCAGAUGAGAACUACAGCAGAACCGUGCUCUGAUUGUAGAGACUCACAAGCAUUUUGUCAUUAUCUGUUAAAAUAAAGCUGCUCUGAUGUGCAUGAAGGAAUAAUCUAGAUAGAUCAGGGGGAUGUUCCUCUUUUGUAGGAAAAAUUAUCAUAUUUAUUUUCUUUACCUGCUCCAAGUUUUCCAUUGUUUCACUCGUUGGCGAUAAUCUAGAAGUUCUCCUUUUUCUGCUUAAUGAAAUAAGUUAUUAUAAAAGUGAACAGAUGCUGUCAGGUUAGUUUGUGAAUGACAGUUUGAAAGAGAAACAGUGAUGUUCACCUGAUCCACCAGCAGACAGUGAGAAGUAUUAAAAGCAGCAGAGCUGCAGAAACUCCUGCAGCUGCUGGUGUCCAUGUUCCUGUGAUACUUUGGACAGUGAGAGUCUUUGGAGCAGAGCUGAUAUCUUUGUUGGUUUUCACAGCACAGGAGUAGCUUCCUGCAUCCUCCCUGCUGACUGGGUCUAGGAUCAGAUGUUUGUUCUGGUUCUCUCUCGGGGUCAGAGGUCGACUGUUCAAGUACCAAAUGUAGUUUGUGUUGUCAGUCAGAGGACAGCUGGUACUGCAGGUCAGUGUGACUCUCUGACUCUCUGUCACCACUGCAGAAGGACUCAUCUUCACUCUCAGCUCUGAAAAACACUUAAACUUGUCAGUAACUGUAAGAGA